UAGCUCAAAGUGCUAGCAUUCAAAUGAGCACCAAUAAUUCUUGAAGAACCUUCAACGCUUGUUCCUUCUGCAACCUGUUAAAAUGGGAUGCGAUCAAUUUAGUACUUCAACACUUAUUUUGGAGAUAACAUAUUCAAAUAGAUAGGAGGAAUUGUCAUGUAGUAAUAGCAAGCCUCAGAGCUAGGCCUACAAUUCCCAAUCCAAAAGCAGCUAAACUUGAGCCCUUUGUUGUUUUGGCAACAUUCAGAGUUGCACCAAGGCCUAUAAGCAUGCGCAACUUGACUAAUUUACAUAUGAAUAGAGUCUCUAUAGAAUUUACCCCUCAAAAUAGAGAAUGAGUUAAUAAAGGAAAAAACUCAAGAUAGGCCAAACGCUUACUAUCUCUAUUUCAAUUAUGGCAUUCUACUUUAGAAAUUUUCUGGUCUUUUAUCAGGCUUCAAAAAUUAAUUCUCGUCCAGUUUCCUCCUCUAUGAUAUUUGGAGUAAACUGUGAAUGUGUUACUUCAAAUUACUUAACUAUCAAUAUUUUACGGUAAGUGAAAUCCAUCUUCAUCAUUAAUUAUGAAAUCAUCAUAAUAACUAUACUUUUGUCUUACGCAGUCAUACUUGGACUUGAAAAAGGAAAAUAGGUUCAGAAAAUUGAAUGUACACAAGCAGAGUUAAAAAUACCGAAUAAACAUUACUAUCUUUGUCAUAAACAUUACUUAUCCAUAAAAUAGUUUCUGUUUCUCACUAACAUUGAUCUCCAUGUUUGGGAGCGUGUUUUGCUGGCCAUGGAGAUUCCUUCCAUAUUUACAUCCACGCAAAUCUACCAAAUAGAAGAAGAAUGAUCAUGAAAUCCUCGGGAAGUUGAGAUUUAUUAAACUGUAUCUUCCAAUAUAUCAGAAAGAUUCGAUGAACUGGUGAACCCAUCCUUCAA
Molecule: long non-coding RNA, 918 nt
Filed under: Nicotiana tabacum (common tobacco)
Lineage: Eukaryota; Viridiplantae; Streptophyta; Magnoliopsida; Solanales; Solanaceae
Description: long non-coding RNA (NTAB_LNC012022)
Source: RNAcentral